Molecule: ribosomal RNA, 119 nt
Filed under: Pteropus alecto (black flying fox)
Lineage: Eukaryota; Metazoa; Chordata; Mammalia; Chiroptera; Pteropodidae
Source: RNAcentral
GUCUACAGACAUGCCAUCCUGAACAAGCCUGAUCCCGUCUGAACUCAGAAGCUAAGAAGGGUCGGCCCUGGUUAGUACUUGGAUGGGAGACCACCUAGGAAGAGCAGGUGCUGUAAAAA